CAGCCGCCGCGGUAACACCAGCUCUUCAAGUGAUCGGGACUAUUAUUGGGCUUAAAGUGUCCGUAGCCGGUUUGGUAAGUCCCUGGUUAAAGCUGGCAGCUUAACUGUCAGUUCGCUAGGGAAACUACCUUACUAGAGGGCGGGAAAGGUGUGAGGUACUCCAGGGGUAGCGGUGAAAUGCGAUAAUCCUUGGGGGACCACCAGUGGCGAAGGCGUCAGACUGGAACGCGCCUGACGGUGAGGGACGAAAGCCAGGGGAGCGAACGGGAUUAGAUACCCCGGUAGUCCUGGCUGUAAACGAUGCGCGCUAGGUGUUGGUAGGGCUAUGAGCUAUAUCAGUGCCGUAGAGAAAUCGUUAAGCGUGCCGCCUGGGAAGUACGCUCGCAAGAGUGAAACUUAAAGGAAUUGGCGGGGGAGCACCACAAGGGGUGAAGCCUGCGGUUCAAUUGGACUCAACGCCGGGAAACUUACCGGGGGCGACAGCAGAAUGAAGGUCAGGCUGACGACCUUACCAGACAAGCUGAGAGGAGGUGCAUGGCC
Molecule: ribosomal RNA, 540 nt
Filed under: uncultured archaeon
Lineage: Archaea
Description: bacterial SSU rRNA
Rfam family: Archaeal small subunit ribosomal RNA
Source: RNAcentral